ACAAGGACCCAGCUUGUGGGGCCAUCUUUUCUGUUAAAAUUUAGCACAGAAAACUUAUGAGAACUGUAGUGUAAGAAUCUUUAUUCCCACUGUCAUGCCUACUCUGGUUCGAGUCAUGGAAGAUGCUUGGUGUAGCUCAGACAAGGAUAAACCCUGCCUCGUUGGCCGAAGCAAGGAAGGCCAAAUAAGCAGCAGAUUCAUGUGGUUUCAUUGCCCGGGAAUAGGGAGCUUCACUGUGGGAAUUCUGUGCCCCAAAUCCUUAAAGCAGCAUAGUUCCUUCCAGGGUUUGCUCUGUGUUAGUGCAGGGGGAGAAUAUGGGGUCGGAAACAAUGCUAGUGUCCACUGAAGACUCCCCCAGCCACAUGAGCAAUGAGGGGAGAAGUAUAUUCAGCAGAAUAGCUACAUAGGAAUUGCUAUACAGGAUCAGGCCAAUGGUCCAUUUAGUCCAAUUAACCUGUCCUUGAGUGCCCAGUAGCAAUUGGAUAGGUGGAAGAAACCCUGCAACCGGCAGUUAUGGGAUAAGGCUGUGGUCAUCUGGGGCAGGUUACUAUUUUAAAUUUAGGCUGGGACUUUUGAAAGAGCUGAAGGACUUAGAUGCAUAUCUCCCAUUUAAAAUUAUUAGGAUUUAUGCAUUUGCCAUCAACGUUGCCAUCCUUUAGAAAUAAAAUCUUGGCCCUAGAUUAACUCUUUGGGGCAGGAAAAAUGUCACUUCUUAUGUAAGGUGAAGAUUGCGUUUAACUGAGCCUCACUGGAAUAACCUUUGCCCUGUUAAAAGAGACGAAUGUGUGGCUCAGGGAUACAGGAAGUUGUGCUACAAAUUCAUCUGUCCAUGAUGAUGAUGAAAUCUGUAAUUCUAUCUGAUUAGGUUCCGUUGGCCAAUUUUGAGAAAUUCUAGGAGAAUGAGGUCAGCUGUGAGAUUCAGUAACAAAGGAUCCCAAGGGCAGGAGAUACAGGGAUGCAGCCAUUCAUGACUAAUUUUCCUUAUAAUAAACCCAAAAUACCUAUUUUAUCCCAGACAUUCGAAAACGUUCCUUUGAUAUUGAUGAGUCACAUAUAUGCGUUACAGGUAGAGAAGAAGGAAAUUUGCAUGUUUCACAGGGCAUGUGACAACCAAUAUUGAACAUUCUGUAGUUUAUGAAUGAACUGCUUAGCAGGAGAAGAGUCAUAAACAUACAGCAAUGCCUGCAUAAGACAAUGAAGGAUUAGGUCUCUGAUACUUGUGAUACUGUUUAUAAGAGAACCAACAAGCUUGCAAGAUGGAAUAUUCUGAGUUGUUCAUCAUCAUGGGUCAUAAAUUGUUAUUGAUCCGACAUGUCAUCAUCAUCUUCUAUAAUUAUGCUGAGUGCUGACCCUGGAUAUUCUGAACGGGCAGUUGUGUUGCUAAUCUUACCCUCAUUAUAUGACACACUUGCUAGUAAGCCUGUGUGGCCAUGGGUUUUUUUAAUCAGAGCAUUUCUUUGCCUCAAUUUUGAUAUUUUCAAACACAAAGGAUGAGCCUGAAUAAAUGUGUAGCCCUAUCCAGUUAGGGACUUUUCUGCUUAGAUUUUUUUUUCUUCUCUUGGGCAAUCAUUAUUUUUACCAUUGAGCUUCUCAGCCUUGGUGUGAAAAUAGAAGAGGGGUGAUCAGGAGGGGUGACUGUUUUCUUCUUCAGGUUGAAACGUUGCCAUCAAAAUGGCAAACUAGGCAAAGGAUGUUUCUCCUCUCCAGGCCCAAUUGAUCCAGAUUUUUAGGCCAAAUUCAGCCCUGAUGUGAGCAGGUGCAAUUUUAUUGACUUCAGUGGAGCAGCAUCCACUUGUAAUAUCCAUUCAUCAUGAAUGCUGCAAAGUGGAAUAAAUGAACAGGCUGUUGUUAUAUCCAGCAAUUGGCCCACACCGGUAAAGAGGAGAACAAAGGGGUCAUUUGUACCUUUUCAUGGCCUCCUUCCAAUUACUUCUCAUUUCCCAGCUAAAAACAUAGGGCCAGAGCUUUCCGUCUGCGUCCUCUAUGCAAUAGUGCACUCAUUUUUUUAAUAGAAAUCUUGAUUUGUAACUAUACUUAAAACUUCAGAGUGAACCACCGAAAAUACUGCAGAAUUGAAUCCAUUUAAGUUCUAUGUAUAGUGAUCUCUGCGCAAAAAUCAACAUUUCCAUUGAGGUGGCAUGUGAAAAUAAUUUAUCUACCUUGUGAAUAAGAUAGUUUCUGAAAAGAUGCAUAAAGCACCAGACAACAUGGAAAAUCCCACUCGUAUCACUCUGUCUGGCUAUCAGGACUAAUAGGACAUUAUUGGAAAUGUGAAUGUAAACAGACUUAUUGAAGAGAAACAUUCUAAUCUUAUACUAUAACUUUUUUUUUAAUGAACAAAAUAAAACUAUUGCGUUCCAGUUUGGGCUUCAAGAUGUAACCCCUGAGUUGUUCUUUUGGUUUGUCUUUCAAAUUGCUUGAUCAAAUUCAAUCCUUGUAUUGUCAGUACUCACUUAUUAGUCUUAAUAUAUGGUACAUAAUAUAGGUACCAGGAAAUAACAACUACACCCAACCUCAACUAAAAAAUAGCUAGGAGAAAUUUCAGUAAAUCUUGUUUUCUUUGUAUUUUUUGUAAUAUAUUUCUUUGUAUUUUUGUAAUAUAACUUUAUAUUUUUUGUUAACUAUAUCUACUUUUUCACUUUGGAUGUGCCUUUCUCUAUACAAUGCAAAAGGAAGCUACUGAAUCAAUGAUUACAGCAGAAAUUGUGGUUUUAUGUUCACCUGAUUGCUUUUGAGCCCUUUGAGGAUAUUAAUAGGAUUCUAUGGUCAGAAGGGAAAGAGGGAAAGCUUGAGGAAUGCAGCUAGAGAAAACACAUACUUCAAAUAUAAGCAGACUUUCUUUUCCAUCUGGCACCUGCAUCAACAGUGGUAUAAGUCUGGUGAGGGCUGGGGGAGGAGAAAGAAGAAGCAUUGCUUAGGCUCAAUGCCAUUGUUGUACAAUACAGUCCCUUUGUCCUUAGAGAUGGUAGAUAUAAGAUAUAAGAGCAUAACAUUCUCCAAGUAAUGACAUUGUCAAAGCAGCUACCUGUGUUUUACUUGUUCCUUUUGUGAAUAUGCAGUCUAAAAACAUCCCUCAAAGAUAAUCACAAAGAAGCAAAUCCCUGCACUUACCUGCACGGGUACAGAGGGUCUCCUGGCAAUAGGAGGGUCUGGGUAGGAUUUGUGGACCUAUAUGCCUUGUGUGCAAUAGACAGUAGAUCCCUCCUCUGAAAUAGCUCCUGCACAGUACAGCAACUUGCAGGAGGUGUUGGGGCCUGCUUUGGGAGAAGCCAGAACCAGAAGAUCCACCAUCCUCCAGUCCUUCUACUUCAUAGAACGGGCAGUCCUGGGAGUAGGAUCUUCCUAAGUUCCCAGAUAAGAUACUCAGGUUGGACGCUAGAUGUGCUCCAAGGGUCCUGUCCUUACUUCCUGUGUACAUACCCAAUAUUCUCAUUGGAGGAGAGUCAGAGCAUUGAGUUGAUGGUAUGUUACAUGUCAGUGAGUAUAAUGUGGUAAAACAAAACUAGUGGUCCUACAGGGUGCUAGCCACGCCACGUCACCCUCUGCAGAAGGUCAAUACAUAAGCCUUAUGCUGACACUCUGCAGUCAGGGACAUUUCACCCAAGUAAUGACAGAGAGAAGCUAUGAAAGUAACCAGUGCAUACAAAG
Molecule: long non-coding RNA, 3648 nt
Organism: Dermochelys coriacea (leatherback sea turtle)
Lineage: Eukaryota; Metazoa; Chordata; Testudines; Dermochelyidae
Exons: 2
Source: RefSeq, a predicted model, not a curated record